Carassius auratus (goldfish) is the source of this 6504-nucleotide RNA transcript. It is a transcript of the gene named ATPase phospholipid transporting 11C (ATP11C blood group), with no coding region annotated. Lineage: Eukaryota; Metazoa; Chordata; Actinopteri; Cypriniformes; Cyprinidae. The transcript has 31 exons. The record is from RefSeq and is a predicted model, not a curated record.
AAAAUGUGUUUGACAGGAAUCUGAACGAGAGGAGGGGGUAGCGGCACACGAGUGGAAAUCCGCACCUUCAAGAGAGACACCCCCCCCCCCCCCCCCUCGCGUGCAGACUAUUAAUCGCGGGGAGGCGAAUGCGGUGAAUUAUUUGGAGGCUCAGCAACAGGGCACACAGAGUACAUGAUGCCGCUGAUUGUAUCAACCCCGCGCGUGGGGGGCUCCCGCGACUAACGCCGCGCAAAGUAACCAAAAAGGAGAAUGCGAAUGGUUAGAGAGGACAGGAUUCAAUUAACAUGGAAACGAUGUAGCUUCACCGCCGCAUUGCAUAUAGCUCGGGGAAACGGGAUAGAAAGUAGAUAGCUAAAUAGGGCGCAUUUUGCCGUCAUACAUGCAAACUUACUCAUCAUCAAGCUCAACUAGCAAGUAACGUUAGUUGGCUGCUACAAAAGGAACAGCUGCUCGACAGUGUCUUCAGGUAAAAAAAGAAGACAGAAGAAUUAAAGAUGUUACGGAGGAGGCUCAACCGAUUGUGUGGAGGAGAUGAGAAUCGAGUGGACAGCAGGACAAUCUAUGUAGGACAUCGGCCAUGUCCAGACACAGAGGCCUUCAUCCCCUCUAAAUUCUGUGACAACAGGAUUGUGUCCUCCAAGUACACAGUGUGGAACUUCCUGCCAAAGAAUCUAUUCGAGCAGUUUAGAAGAAUUGCUAAUUUUUACUUCCUCAUCAUAUUCUUGGUUCAGGUGAUUGUUGAUACCCCGACCAGCCCCGUGACCAGUGGUUUACCUCUGUUUUUUGUCAUCACAGUGACGGCCAUCAAACAGGGUUAUGAGGACUGUCUGAGGCAUAAAGCAGACAACGAGGUGAAUAAGUACCUGGUAACGGUGUUAGAGGACGACCGGUCGGUGAAGAAGGAGAGUGAGAAGAUCAAGGUGGGUGAUGUGGUUGAGGUGGUGGAGGACGAGACCUUUCCCUGUGACCUGAUUCUGUUGGAAUCCAGUCGAGAAGAUGGUACUUGUUUUGUCACCACAGCCAGCUUGGAUGGAGAAUCCAACCACAAAACACACUACACAGUGCAAGACACAGAGAAGGACCUGCAGGCUCUCACUGCCACCAUCGAGUGUGAACAACCCCAGCCUGACCUUUACAAGUUUGUGGGUCGAAUGCACAUUUACAAGGCGGAGCAGGAGCCAGCAGUAAGAUCUUUGGGCCCAGAGAACCUUCUCCUAAAAGGUGCUACAUUGAAAAACACCAAAAAGAUUUAUGGUGUUGCAGUAUACACGGGCAUGGAGACGAAGAUGGCGCUGAACUACCAGGGCAAAUCUCAGAAGCGAUCAGCUGUUGAAAAAUCCAUCAAUGCCUUUCUGUUGGUGUAUCUAUGUAUCCUCAUCAGUAAAGCUGUUGUGUGUACUACACUAAAGUAUGUGUGGCAGAGCAAAGAAGGUCAGGAUGAGCCCUGGUACAACCAGAAAACUCAGAAGGAGAAAGACACUAAUAUGUAUUUGAAGAUGUUUACAGACUUCCUCUCCUUCAUGGUCCUCUUCAACUUUAUAAUCCCCGUGUCCAUGUACGUAACCGUGGAGAUGCAGAAAUUCCUGGGCUCUUUUUUUAUCACUUGGGAUAAAGACUUCUUUGACUCUGAAAUCGAAGAAGGCGCGCUUGUCAACACUUCAGACCUCAAUGAGGAGCUUGGCCAGGUGGAAUAUGUAUUCACAGACAAAACGGGCACACUGACCCAGAACAACAUGGAGUUCAUCGAGUGCUGUAUAGAUGGCUUCCAGUACAAACACAGAGACACCCAGAGCGAGGUGGACGGCUUCACUAUGACCGACGGGGUUAUGAAUAAACUGCAUCAGAAGGCUGGGCAGGAGAAAGAGGAGUUGUUCCUGCGGGCCUUGUGUCUGUGUCACACGGUGCAGGUGAAGGAGCCUGGAUCGAAAGAAGCACUUACAGACCAAGUUGACGGGAUCGAUGGGAUCCUGCCCCAGCUGGAGGAGGAAAGAGGCUUCAUCGCAUCCUCUCCUGAUGAGAUCGCACUGGUCAAAGGAGCCAUGAAAUACGGCUUCACCUUCCUUGGUCUGGAGAGCAAGAGCAUGAAGAUAAAGAACAGGGAAAAUAAUAUAGAAGAGUACAAGUUGCUCCAUGUCCUAAACUUUGACCCAGUUAGACGGAGAAUGAGCGUCAUCGUGCAGACCAAAUCAGGGGAGACGUUGCUUUUCUGUAAGGGAGCUGAUUCCUCCAUCUUCCCAAGAGUCAAACCAGAGGAGGUGGACAGGAUCCGCAUGCAUGUUGAGCGAAAUGCAACGGAGGGAUACCGUACACUGUGUGUGGCCUUUAAGCAGCUGAGUGCUGAAGAAUAUGCCAUGGCAGACAAGGGACUGAGUGAUGCUAGACUGGCUCUCCAGGACAGAGAGGAGAAACUCAUAGCCGUGUAUAACCAGGUGGAGACGGGCAUGAGUUUGAUAGGAGCGACCGCUGUGGAGGACCGACUUCAGGAGGAGGCAGCAGAGACCAUGGAGGCCUUGCAGGGUGCUGGGAUGAAGGUUUGGGUGUUGACAGGGGACAAAAUGGAGACGGCAAAGUCUACCUGCUAUGCUUGUCGUCUGUUCCAGCGGGGUACAGAGCUAUUGGAACUGACUGUGCGGACACUGGAGGAUGAGAGGUUAAAGCGUCAGGAGAAACUUUAUGAGUUGCUACAGGAAUACCAUAGAAAAGCAGUGCAGGACGCCCCACCUGUCAAAGCUGGGGUCACCAGGAGCUGGUCUGCAAAUCAGGAUUACGGCUUCAUCAUAGAUGGGGCGACAUUGUCGUUAUUGAUGAACCCACCGCUUGAGGCAGAUGCCAGUCAGUACAAGAGCCUCUUUCUGCAGAUCUGCCAGAACUGCACUGCUGUACUCUGCUGCCGCAUGGCCCCCCUACAGAAAGCUCAGAUAGUGAAGAUGGUGAAGAACUCCAAAGGUUCCCCAAUCACUCUCUCCAUUGGCGAUGGGGCCAAUGAUGUUAGCAUGAUCCUUGAGGCACAUGUGGGCAUUGGUAUUAAAGGUAAGGAGGGCCGUCAAGCUGUGAGGAACAGUGACUACGCCAUUCCUAAACUCAAGCACUUAAAGAAGCUUUUGCUGGCUCAUGGGCAUCUGUACUAUGUGCGCAUUGCGCAUCUCGUCCAGUACUUCUUUUAUAAGAAUCUUUGCUUCAUCUUACCUCAGUUCCUGUACCAGUUUUUCUGUGGAUGCUCUCAGCAGCCCCUGUACGACGCAGCCUAUCUGACGAUGUACAACAUCUGCUUCACCUCCAUGCCCAUUCUGGCCUACAGCCUGCUGGAACAGCACAUAGACAUCGAGAUUCUGCUGGACAACGCCGCCCUCUACAGAGAAAUAGCCAACAAUGCCAUGUUACGCUGGCGCCCCUUCCUCUACUGGACCGUUUUAGGAAUUUUUCAGGGUCUUCUGUUCUUCUUUGGUGUCCGUUUCUUGUUCAGCAAUCCAGCCUUACAGGAUAAUGGGCAGGUCUUUGGAAAUUGGUCUUAUGGAACAAUUGUUUUUACCGUCCUUGUUUUUACUGUUACAUUGAAGCUGGCACUGGACACACGACACUGGACGUGGAUCAACCAUUUUGUGAUAUGGGGCUCUUUGGCUUUCUAUGUUUUCUUCAGUUUCUUCUGGGGCGGCAUCAUAUGGCCGUUUUUGAAGCAGCAGCGUUUGUACUUUGUGUUUGCCAACAUGCUGAGUUCAGUGUCUGCCUGGCUGGUUAUCAUCAUCCUCAUCCUCCUCAGUCUGCUGCCAGAGAUCCUUUUGGUGGUCCUUCGCAAGCCAAGAGGCCCCCAUUCACGACAGAUGAAACGACGGCUUCCCUCCUCUGGAACAUCCACUAUCUUCAUGCUGUCGCAGACUGCUAGCACUCACAGCUUUUCCUGGAGUGACUGAGGUCUCUCUGCCUGCUCCGUUUCUGCUUUUUGUCUCACUGUCCUUGCUCCUUUGGGUUGCCUGCCUGUAUCUUCAGUGUCCUGCCUGCUGUCUCUCCACCUGUUUGUCUCUGCUCCUUCUUUGUGAGGGGCUGUUCGCUAGCUAGGUUGUUCUACUCUGGUACAAACAUGUUUGUCAUGGGUGCUUGGUUCGGAUUGUCAGUCAAAAUAUGUACCACAGUAGCUUUUUUUUAGUCUUGAGGCAUUGUGAGCCGUGGUGGUGGGUGGUCCUCAGUGUGCAUCUGUAAGGGCUGCAGGGUAUGAUGGGGAAUCUUUCAGCUGUCUGUUCCCGGUGCUUGCUGUCUCUGCAUGCCCAGCCAGGAGAAUGCGGCACACAAACACAUACGGGUUUCCUGCAUGCGUGCUCGGCCCAGCCUGCACCGCUCCUCACCCAAACCAAUGACCUUCUGGAUGCAUCAGUGCUGCUUGAUUCAGAAUGUGGUUUUGUGUGUAUGUGAGAGAGAGUGUUUGUCAUGUUAGAAUUGGGGAUUGCACAAAAAGAAAGGGACAUUUUUAGUUUGGACAGUUUAAGUAAUUUGAUGUGUAACUUUAAAAGACAAUACAGUAAUUAGCAUAUUUUCAUGAUUAAACAAAAACGUCAUAAUGGGAUUAAUAAUAAUAAUAAUUAUUAUUAUAUCUUUAUUAUUUUAAAUUAGGUCCCAAAUAGGGUACUAUAGAAUGGCUUUGAGAGUCAAACUCAUUAGUCUACACUUAUCUCUCUGGGUUAUGAUUACAAUUUUACCUAAAUUUUGUAUUAAAUAUGUGAUUUACAGUAUCACAGAAAUCAGUAAGUUUCAGAUUGGUAAGAUUUUUCAGUGUUUUUUUGUAAGAAGUGUCUAAUGCCCACAAAGACUGGAUUUAUUUGAUGCAAAACAGUAUCAUUUAAAAAAUCUUACAAUAGUUUUCUAUUGUAGCAUAUUUUAAAAUAGUUUAUUCCUUUGAUGAUAGUAGAUGAUAGUUUUUCAUCAGUGUUUGUCUUCAGUGUCACAUGAUCCUUCAGAAAUUAUUCUAAUUUUCUCAUUUGAUGAGCAACAAGCCAUUGUUAUCAUCAUCGAUGAAUAGGAAAUCCAAAAGCAGCAUUUAUUUGAAAUAAAAAAUAUUUUGUGACAUAAGGGCAUUUACUGUCACUUCUUGAUAAAAGUAUUGAAUUUUUUUUUUUUUUUUACUGAGCCCAGACUUUGGAAUGGUAGAGAAGUUAGAAUCAUUUAUUUGGCACUUUUUUCCCCCAAAAGUACUGAAAGAAGUGUUAAUUAAAUCAUUAAAAAAACUGGAAUCAUUAUGUGAAAUCAGUGGUUUUCAUGGGUUCAUAUCGUUUGAGUGUUGGCUGACUUUUUUUGUGUGGUCAUAUUUAUAAUCUAGUACAACUGAAUAGGAUUAUGUUUGAAAAAAAUGGCCAUUAUCAUUUCUACCAUGAAGGAUGAUCUAUAUGGAAAUUAAAAACGUAUUAACAUGGCUUCAAAUAUGAAAUCUCAUAAUUGUAAAUAUUUUUCAGUGUUUUGUCUUCUUUUUGAAGAAGGAUGUACUGUAUAGCAGUUUUGUGUUCGGGUGGGUGUGUGUGUGUGUCUAGCUGUCUGUCUGAGGCAUCUUGUCCUAAGUGUCUUUCACCCCCCUCCCACCCUUUUUAGAAAAAGCCAAGUCAGUCGAAUGUUGGGGGCAACCAGUCCUCUCAGUCUUCAGCCAGACCCCUGCUCAUGAGAACCUUUUCAGACGAGUCCAAUCCUGUCAUAUAAACAGCGGUCAGAGGAUUCCUCGACUGACACAUACAGAUGGCUGCUGUCACACCUCUCUCCUACAAGCAUCUGAACGAGCUCUACUGAUGGCCAUGGACAGCCUUGGGUUAAGACUUCUGACCGGACCCUCACACCUGCCAGGGUUGCUGCACUUCUUCCUGCCUGUUUAAAUGAAACAUGACAAUGGAACCAAUUUAAACAGCUUUUCUGUUACAUCUUAUACUAAAGCCUUCCAUUCCAGCACGAUUCCACAAGAACUAUGUUUUCACACUGUUUUCAGCCCUGCCCUACUGCCAUACAUCCCUACCGGGAUGAAUGUGUCUCUGGCUAAGUGGUCAGUAGCGCUCGACUGCUACAGAAUGUACCAACAUCCUUAUUGGUUCUCUUGCAUGCCCGACCCAAAAAAGUCCCAUAAAUGCCACUCUCCAUACUUUGUAGGUAGAAAGUUGUGAUCACAAUCCCAAAUCGUAGUUUAGAGUUUUGUGAUAUGUAGCUGUUCGAGAUCCCUAAAUGUGAGCUCUCUCUAAGAUGCUGCACUGCGGGUCCUGACCCUAUGGGUAUAAAAGCUGCCUUUCAACAACUUGCUGUUUGUUCAACCACAUGGAGUUCUGGGAUAUCCCUCGGAACCCAACAACUCUGUAUGUAUGCAUACGUGUGUGUGAGAAAAUGAAAAUCAAUUUCAGAUUUUCUUCUUAUAAUGUAUUGUCAAAGUCCUUCGAUGUUACUCUUUGUUGAAACGGGGAUCAGUUUACAGUUGGGUUACAAAUUGUACUAGUGAAAAAAAAAAAGUGUGGAAAAUGUUGCUUGAUGCCAAAAAAAAAAAAA